ACUACGGGAGGCAGCAGUGAGGAAUAUUGGUCAAUGGACGAGAGUCUGAACCAGCCAAGUAGCGUGAAGGAUGACUGCCCUAUGGGUUGUAAACUUCUUUUAUAUGGGAAUAAAACGUUCCACGUGUGGGAUUUUGUAUGUACCAUAUGAAUAAGGAUCGGCUAACUCCGUGCCAGCAGCCGCGGUAAUACGGAGGAUCCGAGCUUUAUCCGGAUUUCUUGGGUUUACAGGGUGCGUAGGUGGGUUGUUAAGUCAGUUGUGAAAGUUUGCGGCUCAACCGCAAAAUUGCAGUUGAAACUGGCAGUCUUGAGUACAGUAGAGGUAGGCGGAAUUCGUGGUGUAGCGGUGAAAUGCUUAGAUAUCGCGAAGAACUCCGAUUGCGAAGGCAGCUCACUGGACUGCAACUGACACUGAGGCUCGAAAGUGUGGGUAUCAAACAGGAUUAGAUACCCCUGUAGUC
This 460-nucleotide ribosomal RNA is filed under the name uncultured bacterium. Its description in RNAcentral is "partial 16S ribosomal RNA". It matches the Rfam family "Bacterial small subunit ribosomal RNA", at positions 338 to 795 of the family's 1533-position model. The record is from RNAcentral.